RNAcentral lists this ribosomal RNA (132 nucleotides) under Triticum aestivum (bread wheat). RNAcentral describes it as "partial small subunit ribosomal RNA". Lineage: Eukaryota; Viridiplantae; Streptophyta; Magnoliopsida; Poales; Poaceae. The record is from RNAcentral.
AUGGUUGGAGAGGAGGUAGCAGGAUCUACUCAAACACUAUAGUGGAAGUGUGUUGAAUCAAGAGUAGAUAGUAAGCGCCUUUAUUAUGAUCGUUUCAUUCUGUUCCCGCUUAGAAAAGGUGGGGGCAAAUAG